RNAcentral lists this long non-coding RNA (513 nucleotides) under Anas platyrhynchos platyrhynchos (common mallard). RNAcentral describes it as "lncRNA (ENSAPLG00000022473.1)". Lineage: Eukaryota; Metazoa; Chordata; Aves; Anseriformes; Anatidae. The record is from RNAcentral.
GUUUUGUUGGGUCACUGUCUUCCUGGCCAACAUAUUCAAAGACAUGGAAGUAACAUAUUCGAAGACAUGGAACUAUCUUCGUCAUGGAACAUUCAGGCAUACCUCUGAAACAAGAAGAGCACAGUCAGAUACAGUCUAUGCAAAAGGAGCGCAGACAAAAGAACAGGAGGCAUUCUGAUCCCAGGCAUACUUCAGCAAAACAACAAGAUGUACACAAUAUAUGUCAGCAGAAACUCCUAUGGCAGAGCAGCACUGUAAUGUUUAUUUCCUGCUUUGAAGAUCAUGGAGUCAGAAUCAUUAAGGUUGGAAAAGACCUUCAAGAUCAUCUGGUCCAACCAUCCCCCUACCACCAAAAUUACCCACUAAAUUAUGUCCCUAAGUACCACACCCAAACUUUCCUUAAACCCUCACAGGCAUGGUGACUCUACCACCUCCCUGAGUAACCCACUCCAAUGUUUAACCAUUCUCUGAGAAGAAAUUUCUCUCAAUUCUCAAUCAUGUUCCUAAAAGGGC